AUGCUGGCUACUCCCCACAGCCCUUGGGGGAAGAGCUGGGAAGGUUCAGGAGGCUGGGCCCCUGACUGUGCCUUGGUGUGGUGGUGGGUAGUGUCCUCCUUCGUGUUUGUCCUGGCCAUCUUGCUGCUGCUGCUCUACCAGCGGGACCCCCAGUGCUGCCAGUUCCUCUGCUCCUGCCGCUUCUUCCAGGGUCCUAGCCAGUGUGACUGUCCCCCUCCCUACUUUAGCAAUAACCAGGACUUGGUGGGACCCCCAGCCAGAUCCCAGCCAUCAGAGAGGAUGAGAACUAGAGUGCAGGGGCAUUUCCAGAGUGAUGAAGUAUUCUGUGUGGGACUGCCCAACAACUACCAGCUACCCCCCUGGCGCCCCCCACGUCUUCCCAGCUAUGAGAGUGUUCGAAAGAAGGACCGGCAGCAACAGAUCCACCGGCUGAUUGCACAUCGUUUUGGACUAUGGGCCUGCAGAGAGGUGGUCCUGUCUUAAUAAUCACCUCUUUAGGGUUUCCAAGAAGUCAUCCCUAACCCUCAACCAGUCCUUCUCCACCCUCAGCUUACAAAACUCCCUCAUUUGAGUCACUGAUGGUGAACACCCACAAUUCAACUAUAUCACGGCAGUAUAGGCACAGUGGAUAGAGCACCGGCCCUGGAGUCAGGAGGACCCGAGUUCAAAUCUGGACUCAGACACAUAACACUCACUAGCUGUAUGACCCUGGACAAGUCACUUAACCCCACUGCCUAGCUUAAAAAAAAAAGAAAUUAAAAAGCAACUAUAUCACUGCAGUAGAGGAGGAUGGGUUUUCUUCCACUGAGGGAAGGACAACCCCUCUGCAGAGAGGGGUUGCUUUGGGAGACAGUGGCUCAAACCCAGCUUGCUUCUACAAAGGGCCAGAACCUUUUCCAAGGGGAAAAGGAAGCUGAAUGGAGAAGCCAGGGGGUGGGGGAAGUACAGAAACCAGAGUUUGAGAAAGCUUUCCCCUAUUUUUUAACAGAGCUGACAUGUCUCUUCUUUCACCAGCUUCCACCAACCUAUGAGGAAUCCCUGGGACCGCUCCCUGAGGUGCCCCCCAGUUCUGGCUCUGCCCACCCAUUCCAGAGAACAACUGCCUUCCCUACUCAGAGGAACACCGCAGUGUAGCAGCAAGCAAGCAGCCUCCUCCUGGCCACCUCCUUAUCCCAGCCCAACCCAGGCAGCAAAGAUGGUGCCAAGCUGCCACCAGAGGGGGGCCUCUGCCAAACUCCAAUUGUGCUAGAUGCCCUUUGGUGCCUUCAAGACAGUGCAACAGGAGGAUCUUACUGAUGCCACAUCUUUGGGGACUGCCCCCUGUGGCCAUCCCACCCUCCCUGAAAUUUCUGGUCCUCUAUCCUAGAAAGCUCCCUCCACUGUCUGCAAGGAAGUGAUGGGCCUACAUUACUGCCCAUAAGCACAAAGGGUAAAGUGAAUUACAGAGAGGGGAGUCUUAUUCAAGGCCACAGAAAAAAUAACGAAAAGAUCUGUAAGUGGAUCUUCGGAGUCUUACCUUUCCUGUUCCAGCUUCCUGGGGCUUCUGGAAUGAACAGAAAUGAAGUCUUUAUUCUGGUCUUAGAAAGAAUUCUUGUCUCCGGCCUUGGAGUCAGGAGGACCUGAGUUCAAAUCCGGCCUCAGACACUUGACACUUACUAGCUGUGUGACCCUGGGCAGGUCACUUAACCCCAACUGCCUCACCAAAAAAAAAAAAAACCAAACUCUUGGGUCUCUUCAGGCCACUCUGCUCAGAAACGGCCAAUCAGAGAGGGACCACAGGCACCAGGUCAAUCACUGCCCAUGCCACACCAGAUAGAGGCUGGCAGGUGGACCUCUCUUCUCCCACACAGAGUAGAGUAAAUGCUACAGAUGACUGGAAGGGGUAAACACGCUUUCUAUCCUGACCCUCAAUUUUAAAGAACCUGGGCCUAAGCUACCAAUCAGCUUUUAACCCUGUCUGAAUUCCUCUUCCAUACAAUAUAUUCUCAAAGCCAAGUUUCCUUACUGUCGUUUACAGUAUUAGAGACAAAGGCGUGAAAGCAAUGUGUCUGCAACACUCAGUGUGACAGCUUUGGGUGUUAUCUAGCUCACCAAAAUCAACCCAAAGGUCUAGCAUUCCCUAGGAAGCCAAAAGCUCAGUACUUGCUGAUUUACACUGGGACUUUUCCAUGCUUCUUCUACCAUAAACUCCUCCAGGUAAUAACAGAAGAAAUAAAUGAAGAGAAAAGAGGGCA
Molecule: long non-coding RNA, 2234 nt
Filed under: Phascolarctos cinereus (koala)
Lineage: Eukaryota; Metazoa; Chordata; Mammalia; Diprotodontia; Phascolarctidae
Description: lncRNA (ENSPCIG00000033595.1)
Source: RNAcentral